RNAcentral lists this ribosomal RNA (253 nucleotides) under uncultured bacterium. Its description in RNAcentral is "partial 16S ribosomal RNA". It matches the Rfam family "Bacterial small subunit ribosomal RNA", at positions 524 to 776 of the family's 1533-position model. The record is from RNAcentral.
UACGUAGGGUGCGAGCGUUAAUCGGAAUUACUGGGCGUAAAGCGUGCGCAGGCGGUUUUGUAAGCCAGAUGUGAAAUCCCCGGGCUCAACCUGGGAAUGGCAUUUGGGACUGCAAGGCUGGAGUGCGGCAGAGGAGACUGGAAUUCCUGGUGUAGCAGUGAAAUGCGUAGAUAUCAGGAGGAAUACCGAUGGCGAAGGCAGGUCUCUGGGCUGACACUGACGCUCACGCACGAAAGCGUGGGGAGCAAACAGG